GCAACCCUCGCCUCUAGUUGCCAGCAUUCGGUUGGGCACUCUAGAGGGACUGCCGGCGACAAGUCGGAGGAAGUGGGAUGACGUCAAAUCAUCAUGCCCUUAUGACCUGGGCUACACACGUGCUACAAUGGGCGGUACAAAGGGCUGCGAACCCGCGAGGGGAGCGAAUCCCAAAAAGCCGCUCUCAGUUCGGAUUGCAGGCUGCAACUCGCCUGCAUGAAGCCGGAAUCGCUAGUAAUCGCGGAUCAGCAUGCCGCGGUGAAUACGUUCCCGGGCCUU
Molecule: ribosomal RNA, 279 nt
Filed under: uncultured Geobacillus sp.
Lineage: Bacteria; Bacillati; Bacillota; Bacilli; Caryophanales; Anoxybacillaceae
Description: partial 16S ribosomal RNA
Rfam family: Bacterial small subunit ribosomal RNA
Source: RNAcentral